UGAAUACGAGAUGCUAAGGCGUCGAAGUAGUGUAUGUCAUACUUCCAAGAAAAGCUUGCACUGUCAUAAAUAAAAAUGCCUGUACCAUAACCGACACAGGUGGGUAAGUAGAGUAUACUAAGGGGCGCGAGAUAACUCUCUCUAAGGAACUCGGCAAAAUAACUCCGUAACUUCGGGAGAAGGAGUGCCUUAUUCUUAAGGUUGCAAUAACAAGAUCCAAGCAACUGUUUAUCAAAAACACAGGUCUCCGCUAAGUCGUAAGACGAUGUAUGGGGGCUGACGCCUGCCCAGUGCCAGAAGGUUAAAGAAGUUGGUUAGCAAUUGCGAAGCUGGUAACUGAAGCCCUGGUGAACGGCGGCCGUAACAAUAACGGUCCUAAGGUAGCGAAAUUCCUUGUCGGGUAAGUUCCGACCCGCACGAAAGGCGUAAUGAUUUGGAUGCUGUCUCGGAGAGGGGCUCGGUGAAAUAGACUUGUCUGUGAAGAUGCGGACUACCUGCACCAGGACAGAAAGACCCUAUGAAGCUUUACUGUAACUUGAAAUUGAAAUUGGACUUUAUUUGCGCAGUAUAGGUGGGAGGCGUUGAUUAUAAUCUUGCGGGAUUAUUGGAGCCAUCAGUGAGAUACCACUCUUGUAAUGUUAGAUUUCUAACUUUGAAUCAUUAUCUGGUCAAAGGACAAUUUCAGGCGGGCAGUUUGACUGGGGCGGUCGCCUCCUAAAUGGUAACGGAGGCGUACAAAGGUUUCCUCUGAACGGUUAGAAAUCGUAUCUAGAGUGUAAAGGCAUAAGGAAGCUUGACUGUGAGACCUACAAGUCGAGCAGGGACGAAAGUCGGUCUUAGUGAUCUGACGGUACUGAGUGGAAAGGCCGUCACUCAACGGAUAAAAGUUACUCUAAGGAUAACAGGCUGAUCUCCCCCAAGAGUUCACAUCGACGGGGAGGUUUGGCACCUCGAUGUCGGCUCAUCGCAUCCUGGGGCGGUAGUACGUCCCAAGGGUUGGGCUGUUCGCCCAUGAAAGCGGUACGCGAGCUGGGUUCAGAACGUCGUGAGACAGUUCGGUCCAUAUCCGGUGUAGGCGUUAGAAUAUUGAGAGGAGCCUUCUUUAGUACGAGAGGACCGAGAAGGACAUACCUCUGGUGUACCAGUUAUCGUGCCAACGGUAAACGCUGGGUAGCUAUGUAUGGAGUGGAUAACCGCUGAAAGCAUCUAAGUGGGAAGCCCACCUCAAGAUAAG
RNAcentral lists this ribosomal RNA (1234 nucleotides) under metagenome. Its description in RNAcentral is "bacterial LSU rRNA". It matches the Rfam family "Bacterial large subunit ribosomal RNA", at positions 1564 to 2808 of the family's 2925-position model. The record is from RNAcentral.